Molecule: long non-coding RNA, 373 nt
Filed under: Elaeis guineensis (African oil palm)
Lineage: Eukaryota; Viridiplantae; Streptophyta; Magnoliopsida; Arecales; Arecaceae
Description: long non-coding RNA (EGUI_LNC020622)
Source: RNAcentral
CUUGAAGUCGAUGUCUCACAUCACCUCAUUGUAGGUUUCGGGAUCAUCUCUAUGCUUCCUAUCUUUCAUGAGAAACUACUUUCUCUACAUCCUCUGUUAAGCAUACCCGAGUAUCUUUCUAGAGGAUUGGAGAUCUUACUAUGUGUACGAGCUGGAGGAGGAAUAUACGUCUACUGGCUCAUGAUGAAUAGAUUCUUAAGAUCCUGUAGCUCGUUGCUCUUUAGAGACACUCUCUUUGAGAUUGACUUUUCUUCCACUGCUUUAACUUGGUCAAACAAUUUCCAAGAAGAUAGUAUGUUGGGUCACGAUCACAUUGUGAUCCUUUCAGAAGGUAGUAUCCCAAACUCUUUUAGAAUGAGCUUUAUAGACCUAU